ACACUUCCAAUCAAGGCGAGGCGUUAGGCAUCAGCAGAAAAUGAGAGGGAGAUGUUCUGCGUUAGAGAAGAAGCAGAGGCUGCAGGGAAGGCGUGGUUUAUGUAUUUACAAUGCGAGAGGACAUGUGGAAGUUCCCUUGUUAUGUCGCCUCACAAGGAAUAAAAGCAACAGGAUGAGGACAGCAUGACUCAGAAGCACAAGCAACAGGAGACAUGAUCAACAGGACUGGAUCAAAACUGGAAACAUUCGGUGUCCUUCAAAGGACACCAUCAGGAAAGUGA
RNAcentral lists this long non-coding RNA (281 nucleotides) under Homo sapiens (human). RNAcentral's name for it is "HSALNT0246416". The record is from RNAcentral. Lineage: Eukaryota; Metazoa; Chordata; Mammalia; Primates; Hominidae.